UAUUAAAAAUUUCAUCCAUUUAUAUUGUUAAAAACUAGCGAAGUUGUUGGAAUAACUAGAUAGUGGCAUAAGACACGCCACGUAUAUACCUCAUGCUAACGUACAAGAACCAAUUUUUAACAGUAAAAAUGAAUAAAAUUUUUAACA
Gossypium arboreum is the source of this 147-nucleotide non-coding RNA. Lineage: Eukaryota; Viridiplantae; Streptophyta; Magnoliopsida; Malvales; Malvaceae. The record is from Rfam.